Molecule: long non-coding RNA, 2208 nt
Organism: Esox lucius (northern pike)
Lineage: Eukaryota; Metazoa; Chordata; Actinopteri; Esociformes; Esocidae
Exons: 3
Source: RefSeq, a predicted model, not a curated record
UUUAGAAGAGCUGUGAGAAUCGAAGGGGGCUGUUACCCACUAAGAACAGCCUCACAACACUACAUAGCUUCCAUCAUGAACCAGGGAAAUUAAAAGAAAAACAUUUCCUGGCCACCUCGUUUGAGGAGCGGUUUUCUCAACAGCUCAGAUUCAGUAUCCAUUGCUCUACCUGGCCCUCGCUUCCUCCACUGCAGCUAACCUGGAACCAUCAUCAACCUGGAUAUGAAUUGAUCAUUAAUAAAAGGACUGGUGUAUCAAGGACCUACUCAUGCCUCUCUCCAGUCUUGUCUCCUCAUUUGGCUCUGAACCCAUGGGUUAAGACCUUUAGCUGAUGGCUAGACAACACCCUGUACUACAGGAUCAAGACCUUUAGCUGAUGGCUAGACAACACCCUAUACUACAGGAUCAAGACCUUUAGCUGAUGGCUGGACAACACCCUGUACUACAGGAUCAAGACCUUUAGCUGAUGGCUAGACAACACCCUAUACUACAGGAUCAAGAUCUUUAGCUGAUGGCUGGACAACACCCUGUACUACAGGAUCAAGACCUUUAGCUGAUGGCUAGACAACACCCUAUACUACAGGAUCAAGACCUUUAGCUGAUGGCUAGACAACACCCUGUACUACAGGAUCAAGACCUUUAGCUGAUGGCUAGACAACACCCUAUACUACAGGAUCAAGACCUUUAGCUGAUGGCUGGACAACACCCUGUACUACAGGAUCAAGACCUUUAGCUGAUGGCUGGACAACACCCUGUACUACAGGAUCAAGACCUUUAGCUGAUGGCUAGACAACACCCUGUACUACAGGAUCAAGACCUUUAGCUGAUGGUUUGUGGUGUGCUGUAUUGCUGUCCUUGUGACUGGUUUCACUUCACAUGUGCACACAGAGAAACAGUUAAAUCACGUUUCUCAAGGGUGUUGACUUUUAUUUGGGUGUGAAUGUAUUAAUGGAUCCCGUGAUAAAGCUUUUAUAGCACUGUUUUAUGGAUAGACUCAAAUGUUAACCACUUUGAUCCAUUGCCAAUUCUGCCUUAAUAAUCUCUGCCAUUUCUAAUUCCCAAGUUUAUAUUUGUGAUCUUUUUCUCUGAUGGAAAGGCAAGACAUGAGACAUUACUAAACUGUUUUUAGAUACUGUUGCUGUGACAACGUGGAUUGACUGUGGUCAUGAAAAGGUAUGGUCACCAACUGUGAUACACUGCAAAGAGUUUACUAAAGCAAGAAAAGUAUAUUCUGACAUAAUGUCAAGUCUCCACGCAGAGGAAAUUUUUUGAUAGAAGUGAAAGUAGCUCGAACAUAACUUUGAAGAAGACCUUUUGUCCUAGAAGAGGUAGCAGAAGUGCUGUGGUCAGCUGUGUGGUUAGGUAUAUCUGCUGUGCUCCACUGCCAAUAUAAAAGUACUCCUGACCUCUGCCCUGUCAGUGCACUCUCUGUAGGGGUCACAUGGUUGUUCCCCUAUUGAAACACCAGCCGAAUGAGUGGCGGUGUAACCAUGGUGGAUCUUCUGUGCUUCGUUAUAAUCUAUGGAAUACCAGCAUACCACAAGUGUAACUCAUCUGUGACACACCCCAUUUUCUAUCCAAAGAGGGAGCUAAAAGGAGGCUUCAGGAUUACCCUUCAUUUAUUCCCUGAGGGAGAUGUUGCAUGUGAUAGUGUGAAGGUGUGUGUGUGUGCCAAACGCCAGGCUGUGUGUUAAUGAGUGUGUGUGUAACCCCUCUGUAGUUUAGCUGUCUUAUUUUUCUUGUCUAGAAUGACUGCCGAAUUCUCCCCAUCCAGAGGAACCCGCUGCUGUUGGCAGGAAGAGGUUGUGUGUGUGCGUGCACAUCCAUUUACAUGGGUGCCUGCGUGCAUUCCUUUUUGUGUGUUUUAUGCGCAUGCUUGUUUGUGUGCAUGCAUGCAUUCCUGUGUGUGUGUGUGUGUGUGUGUGUGUGUGUCUGAGUGUCAGGGCAGAGGCUUCUGGCUCCAGUACGUCGUAUCAAUUCCCAGGGGCCCAGUCCCAGUCCUGGCCCCAGGCUCAGCUCCACUAGUACUGCCAUGCCCUCAAACCCUUGGAAAGCCCUCUUCCUGCCGUAAAUGUCAUGGGCCUCCUUAACAAGAAAUAUGAAUGCAUGAAGCCAAAUGAUACAAUCUCAAAGCAUCAGCCAGCGUCGCUUCAUACCUUGUAUCUCUCCAUUUAUGACCACUUUCCAUCCGGGGCGUGGUUGACCAUA